CCCAGGUGUAGGCAACUGCCUAGGUUGCCUUGUACCUAGGCAAGUGUGACAUGGCUGGGGGAAAAGCAGCCCGUAGCUGGCGGACAUU
This 88-nucleotide small nucleolar RNA is filed under the name Ochotona princeps (American pika). Its description in RNAcentral is "Small nucleolar RNA SNORA74 (ENSOPRG00000022444.1)". Lineage: Eukaryota; Metazoa; Chordata; Mammalia; Lagomorpha; Ochotonidae. The record is from RNAcentral.